GCUUCCAGUGGCUCAGUCGGUAGAGCACUGCGCCAGCCACGCAGAGAUCGUGGGUUCGAACCCCGGGUAAGCU
Molecule: non-coding RNA, 73 nt
Organism: Danionella cerebrum
Lineage: Eukaryota; Metazoa; Chordata; Actinopteri; Cypriniformes; Danionidae
Source: the annotation of a GenBank genome assembly